Molecule: non-coding RNA, 115 nt
Organism: Triticum aestivum (bread wheat)
Lineage: Eukaryota; Viridiplantae; Streptophyta; Magnoliopsida; Poales; Poaceae
Source: Rfam
AUAUUACUCCCUUCGUUCGGAAUUACUCGUUCAAGAAAUGAAUGUAUCUAGAUAUAUUUUAGUUGUAGAUACAUCCAUUUUUAUGACAAGUAAUUCCGAACGGAGGGAGUAGAAC